AAGUGUGUUUCUAAGGGCUGGGGCUGGUUGUAGCCAUGGCAUCUCCAAUUGCACUGCAUGCCAGAGUAACAGUGCCUGCAGCUGCCACUCAGUUUCCUAUAUAU
Small nucleolar RNA from Acomys russatus (golden spiny mouse), 104 nucleotides. RefSeq annotates it as small nucleolar RNA SNORA44. Lineage: Eukaryota; Metazoa; Chordata; Mammalia; Rodentia; Muridae. The transcript has a single exon. The record is from RefSeq and is a predicted model, not a curated record.